UAGAGCGGCGACGGGUGAGUAACACGUGGACAAUCUGCCCCCCGCCGGGAUAGCCCAGGGAAACCUGGAUUAAUACCGGAUGAGACGGGACCCGCGAAGGCGGGACCCGGAAAGCGCUGCGGCGCCGCGGGGGAUGAGUCUGCGUCCCAUUAGCUAGACGCGGGGUAACGGCCCACCGUGGCGACGAUGGGUAGCCGGCCUGAGAGGGUGGACGGCCACAUUGGAACUGAGACACGGUCCAGACUCCUACGGGAGGCAGCAGCUAAGAAUCUUCCGCAAUGGGCGAAAGCCUGACGGAGCGAACCGCCGCGUGAACGAAGAAGGCCGUGAGGUUGUAAAGUUCUUUUCGGGAGGGGGAACAACCGUGGCAGGGAAUGGCCGCGGGAUGACGUGAAUCCCGGAAUAAGCCCCGGCUAACUACGUGCCAGCCGCCGC
This 435-nucleotide ribosomal RNA is filed under the name uncultured bacterium. RNAcentral describes it as "bacterial SSU rRNA". It matches the Rfam family "Bacterial small subunit ribosomal RNA", at positions 91 to 518 of the family's 1533-position model. The record is from RNAcentral.